RNAcentral lists this ribosomal RNA (465 nucleotides) under uncultured bacterium. RNAcentral's name for it is "partial 16S ribosomal RNA". It matches the Rfam family "Bacterial small subunit ribosomal RNA", at positions 28 to 507 of the family's 1533-position model. The record is from RNAcentral.
GACGAACGCUGGCGGCGUGCUUAACACAUGCAAGUCGAACGGAAAGGCCCUGCUUGCCGGGUACUCGAGUGGCGAACGGGUGAGUAACACGUGGGUGAUCUGCCCUGCACUUCGGGAUAAGCCUGGGAAGCUGGGUCUAAUACCGGAUAGGAGCCAUUUUUAGUGUGAUGGUUGGAAAGUUUUUUCGGUGUAGGAUGAGCUCGCGGCCUAUCAGCUUGUUGGUGGGGUAAUGGCCUACCAAGGCGGCGACGGGUAGCCGGCCUGAGAGGGUGGACGGCCACAUUGGGACUGAGAUACGGCCCAGACUCCUACGGGAGGCAGCAGUGGGGAAUAUUGCACAAUGGGCGCAAGCCUGAUGCAGCGACGCCGCGUGGGGGAUGACGGCCUUCGGGUUGUAAACUCCUUUCGCUAGGGACGAAGCUUUUUGUGACGGUACCUAGAUAAGAAGCACCGGCUAACUACGUG